This 252-nucleotide ribosomal RNA is filed under the name uncultured Bacteroidales bacterium. RNAcentral describes it as "partial 16S ribosomal RNA". It matches the Rfam family "Bacterial small subunit ribosomal RNA", at positions 524 to 776 of the family's 1533-position model. The record is from RNAcentral. Lineage: Bacteria; Pseudomonadati; Bacteroidota; Bacteroidia; Bacteroidales.
UACGGAGGAUGCGAGCGUUAUCCGGAUUUAUUGGGUUUAAAGGGUGCGCAGGCGGCGUGUCAAGUCAGCGGUAAAAUGUCGGGGCUCAACCCCGGCCGGCCGUUGAAACUGGCGUGCUCGAGUUGGAGAGAAGUAUGCGGAAUUCGUGGUGUAGCGGUGAAAUGCUUAGAUAUCACGAAGAACUCCGAUUGCGAAGGCAGCUCACUGGACUGCAACUGACACUGAGGCUCGAAAGUGUGGGUAUCAAACAGG